ACUUGAAUAGCUUAUUUAGAGCGCGACGCUGAAGAUGUCGAUGAGGUGUAUUUAUUGCCUUUAAGUA
RNAcentral lists this transfer RNA (67 nucleotides) under Amalotermes phaeocephalus. Its description in RNAcentral is "tRNA-Phe". Lineage: Eukaryota; Metazoa; Arthropoda; Insecta; Blattodea; Termitidae. The record is from RNAcentral.